AUGCCUCACAAGAUCGCCUGGGCACAUGACGUUGGAGAGGCGGCGGGAAUAUUAAUGUAUUGUCUGGAGGACACCACCAGUGCUGCACACAGGACCAUCUAUUUUGAUGGAUGGCUUGGGCUGGCUGCAUCUGCCACACUUCGAGCAGUAGCCCAACACCCUCAGCCAUCUUUGCAGAAUAAAUUCAACAAGAUCAUUCACCUCGAUUGCUCGAGGUGGAUAAGUCGAAGAGCACUUCAGAGGGCAAUUGCGGAGGAACUGAAGCUUCCUCCUUCUGUAAUGGCUAUUUUUGAUAUGCAAGAUGAGAUAGAUGAUUUCAGUGGGAUAGAUGGGAGCUCUAGAGCUGAGAUUGGAGAUGUCAGCCGAGAGAUCCAUCGAGCCAUGCAAGAACACAGAUGCUUAAUUGUUUUCCACAAUGGCAGCGACAACACAAUUGACUUGAAUGAUCUUGGUAUUCCUCGACCUGGAUGGUUUGAUACUAGAAUACUAUGGUCUUUUAGGGGGAGGCUGCGAACCAAUCUAGGAAUAAAGCAAAAGGUGGAUAAUUCACAUCUUUUUCUUGAUACUGACUGUGAUAAGUGUCCACCCGACUGGGAUUCUUGUAUACGGGAAGAGGCUAGGGAAAUUGCCCAAUGCACAUGUAGGCCUGCCGUUACCACUAAAAUAGCUGAAGAGUGUUGCUUAUAUCUGUUAUCAUUAAGUUCUCGGGGUGGUAACAUCAUGCACUACAACUGGGCCACCCAUGCUUCUAGCUAUUGGGUUUGUGAUGGGAUUAUACAAGGAGAUGAGGCGGACGAAGCAUGGGAGGUUGCGGAUUCUCUGCGUCAACAAAUCCGUGUAGAGCAUUAUUCAUCUCAUGUGUUCUCGUCUUUUGGUAAUGAGCUGAAGAUUCCUCCGAACCGAUGGGUAUUGGCCAGGGAUAACUCUGUUGUGCAAGGAAGGACAAGCAUAAAUACGGUGAGUGUGCAUCCAGAUUCAACGUCACUUUUUGUUGAGGCAGUCACAAGCGAAUCUGAUCCUCCAUUAAGGUUAUUACCUAAUGACAUGUUUCAUCAAUCGGACAACCUUCAUGUGCUCAAAUUAUGUCAUUGCACAUUCAGCUUUUCCUCGCCUCCUUUCCAUUGUUGUCAGAACUUAAGAUUCCUUGGGCUAGAUAAUUGCAAGGAUCAGCGAAUAAAAGAAGAUGAAGAACAAGAUAGAUCAUCAAUGAAAUUUUUUCAAAGCCUGUGGGUGCUAGACAUAUGUUGCACAAAUUGGGAAUUGGCUUUAUCACCAGAGAUAAUAGAGCAGAUGGAGGCAAACAUUAGAGAGGUGCAUAUACAUCGGGGGAGGAUUUGGCGCCUCAAUUUUGCGUGGAGACAACUUCAAAACCUUCGCAAGCUUAAAGUUACUCAGCCUACUUCCCCUUGGGAGUCAAGCAAAAUGGAUGAAUUCACGGAUAUGGUGAAGUUGGAGUUCCUUGACCUGUCUGGGAAUAGUACGAUACAAAUUUUGCCAAGUCUGUCAGGGGCAACAAGCCUCAAGACAAUGGUUCUAGUUGGUUGUUUUGGCUUGGAGCAUGUUGGACCUGAAGGACUCCCUCCAUCACUUGAAUCAUUCAGAUUAGAUGCGGGACCUAAAGAAGAUCAUGGUAAGAAAGCCAAUAUAACUCGUGUCUCCAUGGCUGGUUGUGCAAGAUUAUUUGACUUCACACUAGGUGGAUCACUUCCAAUGCUUGAGGAGCUUAAUUUAUCGGGCACAUCUGUAAAAACACUUGACCUCAGGGAUGAGGUGGUGCAGGUCCAUUGUCUCCAGAAAAUCAUGCUGUUGAAAUGUGAGAAACUUCAUGCUAUACUUUGGCCAGAAAAGGGGAUAACUGAACUAGCUUUGCUAUGCAUUGACACGCGUGGAGGAGAAGAGAUCGGAAGAAUACCAUCAAAGUUUUACAAGGCAAAUAAGGGACAUUGUGAAGCACAUGUUGCUAUCGUGGAUAUGCGAUUCAUUCAGCUACUGGUGCUAAGAAGUUGGAAUGUGCGUAGAAUGGAUCUAAAUCUCUGUAUAUCUGCCACUAGCACAGAUGGUAGACGUAGCUGCAAUAAGGGUCCUGGUAACAGUGGGAAAAUAAUUGCGCCACCCCAACCGAAGCCAUUAAUCACCAAUAUUUCUUACAACACCUACACUGAUCUUGCUACUGAAAAUAUCUUUGCUGACCAUUUCAAUGGCAGUGCAUGCCGAUUUGAGCCAUUUGGGUGCCAUGUGGAGAUUGGUGAUGGAAUUAACAACACCAGCGUGGAGAGUGUACAAGGAGUCAAGGCUGUUAUAUUUGUGAUGAACAAAGUUGAAUCUUUGAACGUGCAUGACAAUUCUUCCAUCACCACUAUUAUCCCUAAACACAUGGUGGCCAUAGAUGGGGAUAUACUUAUUUGGCAACGUUUGAAGUGGUGUCAUGUGGUGAGAUGUCCUAAGAUGCACACGGUCUUCACUAGUGAUUACAACAGCUUCGUUUUCGAGGAACUAGAGAAAUUUUGGGCGGCUGAUCUCCUGAUGGUGCACUGCAUUUGGAGCAAAGGAAAGACGGUCCAAGGCUUUGUCGCUCCUUCAUUCGCAAAACUGCGGAGCAUACACCUCUACGCUUGUCCGAGCCUCACAUUUGUCCUCUCACUGGCAUGGUUCACCUUGAGCAGUUUAGAGACCCUCCAUAUUGUCAACUGUGGUAAUCUCAACAAGGUAUUCCCUGUGGAACCAGAGUUUCUAACAAGAAUAGAUACCAACCACCAAAAAGGUGCACUAGAGUUCCCAAAGUUGAAGCAUAUCUACCUGCACGAGCUCUAUAAGCUGCAGCACAUAUGUGAAGCCAAAAUGAUUGCUCCCAUACUUGAGACAAUCAGGCUUAGGGGAUGUUGGGGUCUCGAGCGCCUCCCUGCUGUUGGCCUAGACCGUCGUCCCAUUGUGGACUGCGAGAAGGAGUGGUGGGAGAAGCUGGAGUGGGACGGGCUAGAGGCCCAACAUGACCCUUCCCUCUUCGAGCCGCACCACCCACCAUAUUACAAGGAGCCCCUACCUAGAGGCUCAGUGCUCUGGUGA
Molecule: ribosomal RNA, 3063 nt
Filed under: Triticum aestivum (bread wheat)
Lineage: Eukaryota; Viridiplantae; Streptophyta; Magnoliopsida; Poales; Poaceae
Description: partial small subunit ribosomal RNA
Source: RNAcentral